Molecule: ribosomal RNA, 253 nt
Filed under: uncultured bacterium
Lineage: Bacteria
Description: partial 16S ribosomal RNA
Rfam family: Bacterial small subunit ribosomal RNA
Source: RNAcentral
UACGUAGGUGGCAAGCGUUGUCCGGAUUUACUGGGUGUAAAGGGCGUGCAGCCGGAGAGACGAGUCAGAUGUGAAAUCCACGGGCUCAACCCGUGAACUGCAUUUGAAACUGUUUCCCUUGAGUGUCGGAGAGGUAAUCGGAAUUCCUUGUGUAGCGGUGAAAUGCGUAGAUAUAAGGAAGAACACCAGUGGCGAAGGCGGAUUACUGGACGAUAACUGACGGUGAGGCGCGAAAGCGUGGGGAGCAAACAGG